CCUACGGGAGGCAGCAGUGGGGAAUAUUGCACAAUGGGCGAAAGCCUGAUGCAGCGACGCCGCGUGAGCGAAGAAGUAUUUCGGUAUGUAAAGCUCUAUCAGCAGGGAAGAAAAUGACGGUACCUGACUAAGAAGCCCCGGCUAACUACGUGCCAGCAGCCGCGGUAAUACGUAGGGGGCAAGCGUUAUCCGGAUUUACUGGGUGUAAAGGGAGCGUAGGCGGCAAGACAAGUCUGAUGUGAAAGCCCGGGGCUCAACCCCGGGACUGCAUUGGAAACUGUUUAGCUAGAGUGUCGGAGAGGUAAGUGGAAUUCCUAGUGUAGCGGUGAAAUGCGUAGAUAUUAGGAGGAACAUCAGUGGCGAAGGCGACUUACUGGACGAUAACUGACGCUGAGGCUCGAAAGCGUGGGGAGCAAACAGGAUUAGAUACCCUGGUAGUCCACGCUGUAAACGAUGAAUACUAGGUGUCGGGUGGCAAAGCCAUUCGGUGCCGCAGCUAACGCAAUAAGUAUUCCACCUGGGGAGUACGUUCGCAAGAAUGAAACUCAAAGGAAUUGACGG
This 561-nucleotide ribosomal RNA is filed under the name uncultured bacterium. RNAcentral's name for it is "bacterial SSU rRNA". It matches the Rfam family "Bacterial small subunit ribosomal RNA", at positions 338 to 916 of the family's 1533-position model. The record is from RNAcentral.